GGGCCUGGUGAAAAAUUUGAUAUUCCGAAGUCGCCCAAACAAGAAAAUGCAAAAUGGCUCCAUAGCGCCCCCUAAGGUGAAAAUUCACACUAUUGACUGUCACGCCUUUACGCUUUGUCAAAAUGACACAAAAAUUGACAAACAUAUGUAUCUCAAUAAGAUCUACAAAAAAGUCAGUGCGGGCGUAUCUGUCAAAUGUACGGUUAAAGGGUUAUUCCGCAUUUUUUGCCGAUCCGCACACAUUGGAAUUUCGCUAACUCCUCCGAAGGCUUUCUUUCCACCGGCACCACAUUUGCUCAGGCCAAUCUACACCCCAUGGCCAUUAAAAGUUAUUCAAAUCAUGACGCUGCACCCCACGGUUUAGGUUCUAGGGGGCGCCAAAGAUAACCCUAAAAUCCACAUAUUUCAAAGUCUUAUAACUUUUUAUUUUUGCCCUCACUGGCCUCCAAGUUUUCUAGGAUGAUGCAAUGUCCAGCCAUUAACACAUUUGUGAAGGAAUUUUUACUCCCCAAAAGAGCGCCCCCCCAUGGCCGGAGAAAAAAGUCCAUUUUUUCUUGUCCCCUAAGGUGAAAAUACACAUUGUUGAGUGUCACGCCUGUACGCUUUGUCAUAUUGACACAAAAUUUGACACACACAUGUAUCUCAAUAAAAUCUACGAAAAAGUCAAUGCGCGCGUAUCUGUCAAAUGUACGGUUAAAGGGUUAUUCCGCAUUUUUUGCUGAUCCGCACACAUUGGAAUUUCGCUAACUCCUCCUAAGGCUGGCGUUCCACCGGCACCACAUUUGCUCAGGCCAAUCUACACCCCAUGGCCAUUAAAAGUUAUUCAAAUCAUGAUGCUGCACCCCACGGUUUAGGUUCUAGGGGGCGCCAAAGAUAACCCUAAAAUCCACAUAUUUCAAAGUCUUAUAACUUUUUAUUUUUGUCCUCACUGGCCUCCAAGUUUUCUAGGAUGAUGCAAUGUCCAGCCAUCAACACAUUUGUGAAGGAAUUUUUACUCCCCAAAAGAGCGCCCCCCCAUGGCAGGAGAAAAAAGUCAGUUUUUUCUUGUCCCGUAAGGUGAAAAUUCACAUUGUUGAGUGUGACACCUGUACGCUUUGUCAUAUUGACACAAAAUUUGACAAUCACGUGUAUCUCAAUAAGAUCUACGAAAAAGUCAAAGCGCGCGUAUCUGUCAAAUGUACGGUUAAAGGGUUAUUCCGCAUUUUUUGACGAUCCGCACACAUUGGAAUGUGGCUAACUCCUCCUAAGGCUUUCGUUCCACCGGCACCACAUUUGCUCAGGCCAAUCUACACCCCAUGGCCAUUAAAAGUUAUUCAAAUCAUGACGCUGCACCCCACGGUUUAGGUUCUAGGGGGCGCCAAAGAUAACCCUAAAAUCCACAUAUUUAAAAGUCUUAUAACUUUUUAUUUUUGUCCUCACUGGCCUCCAAGUUUUCUAGGAUGAUGCAAUGUCCAGCCAUCAACACAUUUGUGAAGGAAUUUUUACUCCCCAAAAGAGCGCCCCCCCAUGGCAGGAGAAAAAAGUCCAUUUUUUCUUGUCGCCUAAGGUGAAAAUUCACAUUGUUGAGUGUGACACCUGUACGCUUUGUCAUAUUGACACAAAAUUUGACAAUCACGUGUAUCUCAAUAAGAUCUACGAAAAAGUCAAUGCGCGCGUAUCUGUCAAAUGUACGGUUAAAGGGCUAUUUUGCAUUUUUUGCCGAUUCGCACACAUUGGAAUGUGGCUAACUCCUCCUAAGGCUUUCGUCCCACUGACACCAAAUUUGCUCAGGCCAAUCUACACCCCAUGGCCAUUCAAAGUUGUAAAAAUCAUGACGCUGCACCCCACGGCUCACGUUCUAGGGGGCGCCAAAGAUGACCAAAAAAUCCACAUUCUUAAAAG
This 1881-nucleotide long non-coding RNA is filed under the name Xyrichtys novacula (pearly razorfish). The record is from RNAcentral. Lineage: Eukaryota; Metazoa; Chordata; Actinopteri; Labriformes; Labridae.